This 526-nucleotide ribosomal RNA is filed under the name uncultured bacterium. Its description in RNAcentral is "bacterial SSU rRNA". It matches the Rfam family "Bacterial small subunit ribosomal RNA", at positions 984 to 1509 of the family's 1533-position model. The record is from RNAcentral.
ACAUCCAGAGAAUUUAGCAGAGAUGCCUUAGUGCCUUCGGGAACUCUGAGACAGGUGCUGCAUGGCUGUCGUCAGCUCGUGUUGUGAAAUGUUGGGUUAAGUCCCGCAACGAGCGCAACCCUUAUCCUUUGUUGCCAGCACGUAAUGGUGGGAACUCAAAGGAGACUGCCGGUGAUAAACCGGAGGAAGGUGGGGAUGACGUCAAGUCAUCAUGGCCCUUACGAGUAGGGCUACACACGUGCUACAAUGGCGCAUACAAAGAGAAGCGACCUCGCGAGAGCAAGCGGACCUCAUAAAGUGCGUCGUAGUCCGGAUUGGAGUCUGCAACUCGACUCCAUGAAGUCGGAAUCGCUAGUAAUCGUAAAUCAGAAUGUUACGGUGAAUACGUUCCCGGGCCUUGUACACACCGCCCGUCACACCAUGGGAGUGGGUUGCAAAAGAAGUAGAUAGCUUAACCUUCGGGAGGGCGUUUACCACUUUGUGAUUCAUGACUGGGGUGAAGUCGUAACAAGGUAGGCGUAGUGCU